GAUGAAGAACGUAGCGAAAUGUGAUACUUGGUGUGAAUUGCAGAAUCCCGUGAACCAUCGAGUCUUUGAACGCAAGUUGCGCCCGAAGCCAUUAGGCCGAGGGCACGCCUGCCUGGGCGUCACACGUCGUUGCCCCCCCAUCUACUCCUUCGGGAUUGCGGGGGGCGGAUGAUGGCCUCCCGUGCGCCUCGUCGCGCGGUUGGCCUAAAUGCCAAGUCCUCGGCGACGCACGCCACGACAAUCGGUGGUUGCGAAACCUCGGUUGCCCGUCGUGUGCGGUCGUCACGCAUCGAGAGCUCGAAAAAAUUGCCGGGCUCCGGCUCGGCUUUCAACGCGACCCCAGGUCAGGCGGGGUUACCCGCUGAAUUUAAGCAUAUCAAUAAGCGGAGGA
Molecule: unclassified non-coding RNA, 391 nt
Filed under: soil metagenome
Description: partial contains 5.8S ribosomal RNA, internal transcribed spacer 2, and large subunit ribosomal RNA
Rfam family: 5.8S ribosomal RNA (bases 1-122)
Source: RNAcentral